CUAAAAAUAUGUAUAAAUAUUUACUCGUAUUCAGAAACUAUUUCGAUUGAAGAGAAAAUAUUCCAAUAGUCUUUCCAAUCGGCCUUCCCAACUCGUUUAUGGCUACACUUCGCACUUCUCUACUUAGAUGAAUUCCAAUUGAAUCAUAAAGGAUAUCCACAUUCCAUUCAAAGCCCUACUGUGUAUCGCAAACACAGACUGUGCAAAAGCCUCUGGCCCAAGCAAAUAGAUACAAGGAGUGGCAACAACAAGGACAAGGCCAACAAAUAGUCCAGGCCCAGACCAGACCCUAGGAGCCCAGGACUCCAGCACUCCAGGACCAGGCCUAGUCCAGGGCGCAGAGUAAACGAGCUGACAACGAGGAACGGACAAAGCAACCAGCGCGACGCCAGCUGCUAAAACUUUUGCCUAGGUUGGCAGGCCGUCGAGGCCGGCAGGGCCUCCCCCUUCACCCAGGUUCUCCUCUCCCACCAGGCCGAGUCGAUAAGCCGGAGCGCACAGUGGUAUAUACUGCAGAUUAUCUGGGUUAAAUGUUGAAAAUGGCAAACAGUAGGUGGGAUACGAAAAUAGCAUUAAAGAUAUUUUUCACAAAUCACUGACCAACACUUUUCGCCGUUGCAGCGGAAUAGUUGUCGCAACCCACACCUAUCGAUUGAUUUUUAAAAGGUAUUUUGUCUAAUUUUUAUAUUUUUUGGUAUUUUUCUAGCAUUAAAAAUAUUACU
Long non-coding RNA from Drosophila pseudoobscura, 722 nucleotides. RefSeq lists it as uncharacterized. The record is from RefSeq and is a predicted model, not a curated record. NCBI's taxonomy places the organism in Eukaryota, Metazoa, Arthropoda, Insecta, Diptera, Drosophilidae. The transcript has 3 exons.